UACGUAGGGUGCGAGCGUUAAUCGGAAUUACUGGGCGUAAAGCGUGCGCAGGCGGUUUUGUAAGCCAGAUGUGAAAUCCCCGGGCUUAACCUGGGAAUGGCAUUUGGGACUGCAAGGCUUGAGUGCGGCAGAGGAGACUGGAAUUCCUGGUGUAGCAGUGAAAUGCGUGGAUAUCGUGAGGAACACUCGUGGCGAAAGCGAGCUACUGGACAACUCCUGACGCUGAGGCUCGAAGGCCAGGGUAGCGAAAGGG
Molecule: ribosomal RNA, 253 nt
Filed under: uncultured prokaryote
Description: partial 16S ribosomal RNA
Rfam family: Bacterial small subunit ribosomal RNA
Source: RNAcentral